AUUGAACGCUGGCGGCAUGCCUAACACAUGCAAGUCGAACGGCAGCACAGCAGUAGCAAUACUGUGGGUGGCGAGUGGCGGACGGGUGAGGAAUACGUCGGAAUCUGCCCAGUCGUGGGGGAGUAACUAGCCGAAAGGUUAGCUAAUACCGCAUACGACCGAGAGGUGAAAGCGGGGACCGGCAAGGCCUCGCGCGAUUGGAUGAGCCGACGUCGGAUUAGCUAGUUGGCGGGGUAAAGGGCCCACCAAGGCGACGAUCCGUAGCUGGUCUGAGAGGAUGAUCAGCCACACUGGAACUGAGACACGGUCCAGACUCCUACGGGAGGCAGCAGUGGGGAAUAUUGGACAAUGGGCGCAAGCCUGAUCCAGCAAUGCCGCGUGUGUGAAGAAGGCCUUCGGUUG
This 402-nucleotide ribosomal RNA is filed under the name uncultured bacterium. Its description in RNAcentral is "bacterial SSU rRNA". It matches the Rfam family "Bacterial small subunit ribosomal RNA", at positions 29 to 425 of the family's 1533-position model. The record is from RNAcentral.